GUAUCUGGCUACGUAACGUUAGCGUAGCUACUUGGAAGAUUUCCACUCUUUUGAGGAAAAAUCAUGGACAACAAGAAAAUGGAAACAGACGGCAGAAAAGAAACCAUAUCUGGUUAUAUACACACACGAUUAAAAAAAAAGCACGAAACAACAAGUACUUGAAUGCAAUAAUUCAGGUGGGCUGAGAGAAGUACCACCACGCGGUUUGUUUCUCAUUAGAGAAACACGAGUGCAUGGCCGCGGCUCCGACAAAUUCUACAAACGUUAAAGAACGCAACGAAAGCUUUAAAGAUCAUCAGGGCUAUGACUACAGUACACAAAGCACACUAUAAUUGAAGUCACAGAACCUCAGUUCCCCAGUCAGCACUCUGGAAGCUGCAGUUUGCAGCAUUGAUGCCUUGACGACCACUGUGACCAUAAGACACAUAGACUGAAGUGCAGAACUGCUGCAUCAGAGAUGCGAUGCGGAUUAUACAGCUGUUGUUGUGGGAUGUGCAGAUUUCCUUUGUCAAAGAAGAUGAAUCAUACAGCUUUACGAACCUUGCCACAAGAGACUUUAGGGUAGACAUAACUUUAACCACUUCGCUACUGCCCAGUAAACAUUACGUCAUGGUAAUUUUAUUGAAAAAUCAUAACCAUGCAAGUCUUUAGAACCUGAACUCCUACAGAUGACGCAAGAACAUCUCUAACUGAAAAGAGUGAGGAGGAGGAGGCACUGGGAGAUCUGGAGAGGUUACAGGCUCUGCUUCUGCUGCUGGGGGUUGUCCCGGAGGCUGUGGCAGGGUCAGAGGUGGUCCCUUGUCUUGCUCCAGCAGUGGGGCACUUGGUGGCCUGGGUCUUCUUCCAUUGUGCCUUCUGCUCGUUUGGCUCUUCAGCCUCCUUGGCCAAGUCCUUCUGCUGCAGGAGUCUCUCAUACUACUCUCCAGUGAUGACUUGGGCCUCAAUAGAGACUCGUCUGAUGGUUUUUCUCUGGUAAUCGUCCUGGGUCAGGACCUCCGUAAGGUCAGGCUGAAUCAGUCCUGCUGCCACCAGGGGAUGAUUGCGAGGGGUGGAAGGUCCUGGAAGAUGGGAGGAUGUGGAGGCCCUCAUUGGAGAGAAUGAUGAUGCCACUGUUUCUUGCAAGCUGGUGCUAGUGGUGCUGCUCCUGUGGCCAGGAGAUGGCAUGAGGUGUCUUAAAUCCACAGCUUGUGGAUUCAGAGGAAUGAUGCCACACUUUCUGAACCCCUCCACAACAAAUGCCCCGGUCUUUCAGCCACUGGUAUAGGUGACGGAAAACUUUAGCAAACUGAUUUAACAAUAUAUACGCGUUUACGAAUGUUUGAAAUGGCAGAGGUUGCCAGCCACCUUGGCAAACUAUGCCUUCAAAGAGCCAAAGAAUCCCACGUCCAGCGGCUGCAAGACAUGGGAACAGUGGGCUGGAAGGCACAGAAGCGCAACACCAUCCCUCUUUGCCAUCACAAUGACCUCUUUGGUGAGGUGUGAUUUAUGGCUGUUGAAGAUUAGGAGCAGAGGGCACGUCUUCAGAGCAUGACGGAAUACAUUUUGAAACCACCGCUGGAACAAAUCCCCAUCAAUGUACCCUGCCAGAGAUUUCCCAUAAAGAGCACUGGGGGUCCUCCUUGAGGGUAUGGGCCUCUGGGGAAAAUAUUUUGCACAUAUAAUAAAUGGUGGAAUGUCUUCCCCAACUGCAUUGAAGCAGGCCAUUACUGACACAUGGCGCCGGGGCCUGCUGGUAUGCAUGUUUAGACGUCCAGGGUGUCAGUACUUUGUACCUGCUGUCAUCCAUCUGGAAGCCAGUCUCAUCACAGUUGUAAAUCUGUGAUAGCUGGUCCUUCAAGUCAUGCUCUUCCUCCAUGGAUGACAGCAGGCCAAAGUACCUCUCUACCAUCUCCUUCCUGACACAUGAUGCCCUCCCACGACCAAUUGUGUCAGGGGGGCCUCAUACUUAAUUCUGCAGUGUGCCAUCUCCUGAAAAAGUGCCACCACUUCUUCCCCAGUGAUGUCACAUCUUCAUUGGGGUUCCUCUGUCUCCUCACUGCACUGGCAUAUGCCAGCAGCCUUAGUCAAAGUCAAAUUUAUUUAUAUAGCGUUUUUUUACAACCGAUGUUGUCACAAAGCAGCUUUACAAAUG
Molecule: non-coding RNA, 2131 nt
Organism: Electrophorus electricus (electric eel)
Lineage: Eukaryota; Metazoa; Chordata; Actinopteri; Gymnotiformes; Gymnotidae
Source: RefSeq, a predicted model, not a curated record